UACGUAGGAUGCGAGCGUUAUCCGGAUUUAUUGGGUUUAAAGGGUGCGUAGGCGGAUUUGUAAGUCAGAUGUGAAAUCUUCCGGCUCAACCGGGAAAUUGCAUUUGAUACUGUUGGUCUUGAGUGUAGAUGAGGAGGGUGGAAUUUCUGGUGUAGCGGUGAAAUGCUUAGAUAUCAGCAAGAACACCAAUUGCGAAGGCAGCUCUCUGGACUUUAACUGACGCUGAGGCACGAAAGCGUGGGGAGCAAACAGG
RNAcentral lists this ribosomal RNA (253 nucleotides) under uncultured bacterium. RNAcentral's name for it is "partial 16S ribosomal RNA". It matches the Rfam family "Bacterial small subunit ribosomal RNA", at positions 524 to 776 of the family's 1533-position model. The record is from RNAcentral.